Molecule: ribosomal RNA, 429 nt
Filed under: uncultured bacterium
Lineage: Bacteria
Description: bacterial SSU rRNA
Rfam family: Bacterial small subunit ribosomal RNA
Source: RNAcentral
UCGAGAAUUUUUCUCAAUGGGGGAAACCCUGAAGGAGCGACGCCGCGUGGAGGAUGAAGGUUUUCGGAUUGUAAACUCCUGUCAUUGGGGAACAAUUGUGUGGGGAGUAACUGCCCCGCACUUGAUAGUACCCGAAGAGGAAGAGACGGCUAACUCUGUGCCAGCAGCCGCGGUAAUACAGAGGUCUCAAGCGUUGUUCGGAUUCAUUGGGCGUAAAGGGUGCGCAGGCUGUGGUGUAAGUUGGAUGUGAAAUCCCGGGGCUCAACCCCGGAACUGCAUUCAAUACUGCUCCGCUAGAGGACUGGAGAGGAGAUUGGAAUUCACGGUGUAGCAGUGAAAUGCGUAGAUAUCGUGAGGAAGACCAGUGGCGAAGGCGAAUCUCUGGACAGUUUCUGACGCUCAUGCACGAAGGCCAGGGGAGCAAACGGG